AUACGUAGGGAGCGAGCGUUGUCCGGAAUUACUGGGCGUAAAGGGUGCGUAGGCGGCAUGGCAAGUCAGAUGUGAAAUCCCCGGGCUUAACUCGGGGGGUGCAUUUGAAACUGCUGUGCUUGAGUGCAGGAGAGGAAAGCGGAAUUCCUAGUGUAGCGGUGAAAUGCGUAGAUAUUAGGAGGAACACCAGUGGCGAAGGCGGCUUUCUGGACUGUAACUGACGCUGAGGCACGAAAGCGUGGGGAGCAAACAGGAUUAGAUACCCUGGUAGUCCACGCUGUAAACGAUGGAUACUAGGUGUGGGGGAGAUACAACCUCCGUGCCGGAGCAAACGCAAUAAGUAUCCCGCCUGGGGAGUACGGCCGCAAGGCUGAA
This 375-nucleotide ribosomal RNA is filed under the name uncultured bacterium. Its description in RNAcentral is "bacterial SSU rRNA". It matches the Rfam family "Bacterial small subunit ribosomal RNA", at positions 523 to 898 of the family's 1533-position model. The record is from RNAcentral.